AUGGUUGCCUGCACGCCGAAUGUCAGGGACAAACAAACUGGAUCUUUUCUGACAUCCGCCCGUGAGCUUGAGCCCUUAUGUAACGGGAGAAGUCUUCAGGCUGAGCUACUGCUGAGCUGUCUGCAAUUACACUCUGCUGGGGCACCGGGAUCACAGCUCCCCUGUGGAAGACGGCGCCACGGUGUCCUGGAUCUAGGGGCUACUAAUUGGCGUAGAUUAGGCAUGGCCAACUGCUUGGAAACUUGCUUUCGUGCUAAUGAAGAGUGGGAACAGGUAUCGGGAACCAACAGAUGGUUUCUCAGAAAUGUGAUGGAAUCAGAAAUCUUGGUAAGCAUUCAUUUAUUCUCUGAAUGCAAGUCAAACACUGCACUGGGGCUGGCACUACAGAACCGGAAAAGAUGUGAUCCCUGGUUCCUCCCUUCUCUGUAG
This 429-nucleotide long non-coding RNA is filed under the name Felis catus (domestic cat). RNAcentral describes it as "lncRNA (ENSFCAG00000052136.1)". Lineage: Eukaryota; Metazoa; Chordata; Mammalia; Carnivora; Felidae. The record is from RNAcentral.